CAGUGCAUGAAAUGCAAAAGUUAAGUAAGGAAGAAGAAAGGAAAGAAGAGUGGAAAAAGGAAAGAAGAAAAGAAAGAAGAAAGGAAAGAAGAGUGAAGCUAGGAAAGAAGAGUGGAAGAAGGAAAGAAGAAAAGAAAGAAGAGUGAAGAAAGGAAAGAAGAAAGAAAAGAAAGAAGAAAGGAAAGAAGAGUGAAGCUAAGAAAGAAGAGUGAAAGAAGGAAAGAAGAGUGGAAGAAGGAAAGAAGAAAGGAACGAAGAAUGGAAGAAGAGUGGAAGAAGGAAAGAAGAAUGGAAGAAGAGUGGAAGAAGGAAAGAAGAGUGGAAGAAGGAAAGAAGAAAGGAAAGAAGAAUGGAAAAAGAGUGGAAGAAGGAAAGAAGAAAGGAAAGAAGAGUGGAAGAAGGAAAGAAGAGUGGAAGAAGGAAAGAGGAAAGA
Long non-coding RNA from Clupea harengus (Atlantic herring), 433 nucleotides. NCBI's taxonomy places the organism in Eukaryota, Metazoa, Chordata, Actinopteri, Clupeiformes, Clupeidae. The record is from Ensembl.